This is a non-coding RNA of Coffea arabica (coffee), 126 nucleotides long. The record is from RefSeq and is a predicted model, not a curated record. Lineage: Eukaryota; Viridiplantae; Streptophyta; Magnoliopsida; Gentianales; Rubiaceae.
AGUCGAAGUUCAAAUUACUGCUUGGGCCGUGGAUAUCUUGUUCCAGACGAUGUCUACAAGGUUAUAGUACUGUUUACUAUGAUUGUUAGGUAGUUUUGAUCAGAAGAGGAGUGGAAGAUUUAGGCU